RNAcentral lists this ribosomal RNA (427 nucleotides) under Penaeus duorarum (pink shrimp). RNAcentral's name for it is "partial 16S ribosomal RNA". It matches the Rfam family "Bacterial large subunit ribosomal RNA", at positions 1967 to 2594 of the family's 2925-position model. Lineage: Eukaryota; Metazoa; Arthropoda; Malacostraca; Decapoda; Penaeidae. The record is from RNAcentral.
AUUAGUCUUUUAAUUGAAGGCUUGUAUGAAUGGUUGGACAAAAAGCAAACUGUCUCAGUUGUAAUAAUUGAAUUUAACUUUUGAGUGAAAAGGCUUAAAUAAGUUAGGGGGACGAUAAGACCCUAUAAAGCUUGACAAUAAGCCGUUUAUAUUAUAAAUUGUUAGUAUAACUUGAUUUUAAAUGGUGUUUGUUGCGUUGGGGCGACGAGAAUAUAAAAGAUAACUGUUCUUAUAAUAUUUAAUAACAGAAAUAGCUGGAAAAUUAAUGAUCCUUUCUUUAAGAUCAUAAGAUUAAGUUACUUUAGGGAUAACAGCGUAAUCUUCUUUGAGAGUUCAUAUCGACAGGAAGGGUUGCGACCUCGAUGUUGAAUUAAGGUAUCCUUAUAAUGCAGCAGUUAUAAAGGAAGGUCUGUUCGACCUUUAAAUC